Molecule: long non-coding RNA, 1329 nt
Filed under: Heterocephalus glaber (naked mole-rat)
Lineage: Eukaryota; Metazoa; Chordata; Mammalia; Rodentia; Bathyergidae
Description: lncRNA (ENSHGLG00000033703.1)
Source: RNAcentral
AGAAAGCCUGCAAAGUAGGCAGACAGAUUCUGCUUGCUUACCUCUCCUGAUGGGGGGCUCACUAUCUACUGGGAAGCUCAUCCCACAUCUGCACAGCAAGUUGGGAAAGAAAUUAAGUGUUUAUGGGUGAGAUACAGCAAUGGAAGAAAACAGAUCAGAACCAUCCCCAAGGAGCUGAUAUUCCAGGGAGGGACACAGACAGUACACAAGGGGUGCACACCUGUCAUCCUAGGACUCUGGGAGGAAGAGGCAGGAGGAUCACAAGUUCAAGUUCAGUCUGGGCAACUUAGAGAGACACUGUUUCUAAUUAAGAGGAAAAAAGGGGAAAGGAUAAAAAGGGUUGGAGAUGUAGCUCAGUAUAAAAGCCCUGGUUCUGUGUAUCAUGUUAGAAACAGCAAGCACCAGAAGAAAUAAAGUAGGGAUGUGUCAAAGGUGUUUGGGUGGAGUUCUAGAAGGAAAGGGUGAUGGAGACUGUCUCUCUCUCGCUUUUCGCUGGAACGUGCCCUCUAGGGACACUCUGAGACCCUGCUUUGCCCGCUGUGCCCGUGGCCAUCUGCUUCCACCUCUGGGGACAGCCCUGCCCUUUGGAGCAGGCCGACUCCUACCAGAAAAGGCUGCAGCCUUCUGGUCUCCCUGCCUGGAGCUGACCACCUACUGAGGCCGGCAGGGGUUAUAAACCUCCACCUCCAGGAAGAUCCCUUCCAGCUGUCACCUGCCAAGGAGCUCACCAGCUCCUGAUGUCGGGAGGUGAGGAUCUUGGCUGCAACAAAACCAAACGAGGCAAGGACAAGGAUGAGAACGUGCUGCAAGCUGAGAGCAGGGCCAGGAUCGCACGACCAAUGGGAGCCAUUCCAAAAGCUGCUGCGUAGACAGUGGGGAUAAACGCGUCGAAUGUCUGUGUAGCCACGUGGUGGUCCUGGUGGCAUCAGGGAUAAGUGACCAGAUACACCAAGCCUCAAGGCCCACAGAUGCAUGACCCUGUCCUGUACACAGGGUCUCACUAUGCAGCCCAGGCUGGCCUCCAAUGUUUGGAUUCUCCUCUCUCAGCCUUGCAAGUGUUAGGAUUACAGGUGAGAAAUGGGCCCGUCAGGACACCAUGACACACAGAGGCAGGAAAUGGCCAAGCCCCGAGCUGGGCCAGCUUCCCACGGGGCCUGCCAAGGGAUAUUCGAGGGCAAGUACCCCUCCUUGCCCUCCGCUAGCGGGAAUCCAGUGCUCAUUGUGCCUCAAAAGUUCCCCCUGCCUCAGCUUCCUGCUCCUUCCUCUCCCACAUCCAUCCUCCCUGUACUGUUCACAGUGCUGCUUACUGAAACUGCAGGAGGACUGGGC